This 251-nucleotide long non-coding RNA is filed under the name Elaeis guineensis (African oil palm). RNAcentral describes it as "long non-coding RNA (EGUI_LNC067466)". The record is from RNAcentral. Lineage: Eukaryota; Viridiplantae; Streptophyta; Magnoliopsida; Arecales; Arecaceae.
CAGUCCCCCUACUUCCGAGUUUGAAUUUCAAACGAAGGAAGUACAGAGAGAGAGAUGGGCACAGCCGAAACCGUCCCUUCGAAUCCUGCGCACUGUCGCCUCCAGAUAUUUUGGCAUUAAAUGUGCGCAUGCCGGAGUCUUUUCGAAUUGGAGCGGUAUGAGGGGACGCUUCGAAAUUCCCGUAGGUACACUGGUCUAGGUACGGCACAAUUAUAAUCCUGCCAACCGUCAGCCGCUUUUAGCCGCCUGCC